RNAcentral lists this transfer RNA (72 nucleotides) under Phrynosoma platyrhinos (Desert horned lizard). RNAcentral describes it as "tRNA-OTHER". The record is from RNAcentral. Lineage: Eukaryota; Metazoa; Chordata; Lepidosauria; Squamata; Phrynosomatidae.
GCCAGCAUAGUGUAGUGGUUUAAGCUUUGGAAUAUGACUCUGGAGACCAGGGUUCAAAUCCCUACUCUGCCA